Molecule: long non-coding RNA, 219 nt
Organism: Chiroxiphia lanceolata (lance-tailed manakin)
Lineage: Eukaryota; Metazoa; Chordata; Aves; Passeriformes; Pipridae
Exons: 3
Source: RefSeq, a predicted model, not a curated record
ACUUCUCCUAGACUUACAGUCAGGAAAUCCUAGAGGAAUAUGAACGCCUACUCUGUGAACCUGGCAGCCAGGUUUUCAUCUCAUCCAUCUAUCUUCAAGUUGAUUGAAAAGCUCCUGUAUGUGAAUCUGCCUAGUUCUUCCUCAUUGCAGCAAACAUCAGAUGAGCAAAUCAUUGUCAGUUUUUCUUUGCUGGCAUUUCCAGCAUUUCCUUUCUUUCCC